UGUUAUAUUAUUACUUAUCCUAGUAUAUUAAUGGCUAUAUAACAUAGCUAUGUCCCAAAUACAUGUAAUACAUAUUACUUUUCAUCUCAUUUAAACCUCACGAGAGUUCUUUGGUGAAGAUAUGAUUACCAUUUUACAGAUGAGAAAACCUGAGAAGAAUAGAAGCUAAGUAGCAUGCCAAGCUUACCCAACUAGCUCUCAUUCAUUCAUUCAUGAUUCAUGAAGUAUUUAUCAAACAACUACUAUAUACUGUCAUUAAAGAUACAAAAAGGAUCAAACAUAAUCCUUGCCUUCAAAGAAGCCACAGUCUAAGGUUAGCAAGUGGGCUGGAGCGGAAUUUGGUUUUAUCAUUUCAAAGGCAAAGGAACCCAGAUUGGAGAGUUUUCUGGCAACUGCCUUAGGACUUUUUGGCCAAGAUUAUUGUAAUAUAUAAAGGUAAGCAUCAAUGUGUUGGUGGGAAGAAGUAUCCUAGAAAUUUUUUUUUUUUUUUACUGUAUCCAGGACUCUUAUGAACUACUAAUUCAUUAUUAAGUUAUUUGAUGACACAGAUUAUUGUUCAAGAAUUUCCUCCCAGAGCAAUUGAUAAAUAUCAAAUAAUUUGUAUGAUGAGCAGUUCCAGAAAGGGUUAAAGUUAGCUUCUCUGGGACAUAUGACAGGAAAGUAGCUGAACAUGAUUUCAAAGGGAUUUUUUAGGAGAAAAUUCCAAUUACAGAGAAGUAAUUUCCCUUUCUAGCUUACUAAGCCCUAUUUCAGACUAAUGCAGUUUGAAGAUCAUCUCCCUUCUCCCCUUAUUUCAACAGAUAUUUUGAAUGUGAAAAUCUUAUGUCAAAACUUAGCUGAAGCCUUCAUCAGGCUUUUGAAAGGCUAAGUAAGAAUUCUGUUUCUAGGAAUAAAAAGAUUUGGAUCAGAAAGAUUCUUUGCUGGCUAGAGUUCCUUUUCGGAUGGUAGUUCAAGCAGUCUUUAAUCAUAUUUUUGUUGAUUAUUUAUUAGUUUCCCUGGGAAAUCAAAGACUCAGUAAUGUAAAAUGUGUUUUCCUUAAGAUAUUUUAUGAAUCAGAACCCACAGUAAAGAAAUAAUGGGAAAUACAUUUCCUUUGCUGAUAUGGACUAAUUGAGAAUUAAAAUCCCUUUCUCUAGUCAUUAUCCCACAUGGAAAUGCUGAAUGACCCAACUGGCCCAAUUGCAGCAACCGCAGUUUCUGCCUAGACAAAACUCUUAUGCCACUAGUAGAUAAAGAGAGAGCUUUCUCAGUAAAUCAAAACUGCAGAGGACUAGAACUAAUUUAAGUGAAAGGAUAGGCUCCAAGCCAGCUGUUUGGGUAAACCCACACUGAAUCAAGUGAGCGACUGAUGAAACUUAAUAUGUGUGUAUUCCAGUCAUCAGCCUGGAGUAUGUGUAAUGCAAGCCCGUGGUGUUUGUCACUGUGAGAAAUGCAAAGGCAGACCUUCAUUCUCAACUGUGUGGGGCUGCCAGCCUGUGACUGCUUUGGUCAACAUCGGGCUUGCUUUUGGGUGAGCCAGACUUUGGCUGGUUUCCUGAUGGAGGUUAGGGGAAUUGUGAAGUGUGUCUCCUUACACAGAUCGUCCUGAUCAAAUGAAAUAAAAAGGUAUUUUAAAAAUAAUUUGCUUAGUGAAAUACAAAGGAAAUAGGAUGCAUUUCAUACUAUUAAGGCCAAUAUGGUUUUGGGGGAUACGAGGUGUACAUACGUGAAAAAUUUGAAAACAAUUCAGAGUAAAAAAGAAUGGUCGUAUAACCUAAUGUAAAUGACGAGUUAAUGGGUGCAGCACACCAACAUGGCACAUGUAUACAUAUGUAACAAACCUGCACGUUGUGCACAUGUACCCUAAAACUUAAAGUAUAAUUAAAAAAAAAAAAACAAACAAAAAGAAUGGUCGUGUAAUAGAGACAGUGGUGAAGAGCAGGACUCUGGAGCCACAUGUUCUGAGUUCAGAGCCCACUCUGCCACUUACUAGAUCUGAGACCUGGAGGAAGUUAUUUGCCCUUUCCCUGUUUGGCUCUUUUGUAAAAUGGAAAUAUGAGAGUACCCACCUCCUAAGGUGGGCUUAUGAAUUAAUAGAUAUAAAAGUAUGUAAAAUUAUUGCUAUCAUUAGUUACUGUUAUUAAUAGAUCAGAAGUCACAAGCUCCAAUGCCUGCAGUGCCCAUGAAUACCAAAACAGGGAUCACUGGCAACAGAGACAUGGCCCCAGUGGCGUGGAGAUAAAAGAAAGUGGUAGGGACAGUGGCAGACAGCCAUCACCCUACUCCCCACUGAUUGUGACCUUAAGGGAAUGCUGGUCCUGUGUUGCCAGAGCUUCUGAUAUUGCCAAAGAAGCUUGAAAUCUGGACUUGGUCAAAAAAUCCCUCAACUUGUAAAGGUGGUUGCUUUAUUUUAAAAUACUCUACAAGCCAAAUAAAACACUGUCUCCAGGCUAUUGGCCACCAAUGAAUGACCUCUUUGGACUAACAAUGAAACUCAGCUAUGGAAAUUCAUCUGAUUACUUUAUUGUCACACUGUGAAACAGGGAUUCAUUGUCAUUCCAGAAACAGCCAUUGAGUCCCUGCUUGUGUCCACCCCUGUGCUGGUGCAAAGGAUAUGCCCAAGAAUCAGGCAGACAAUCCAAAGAAGCCACCUGCUCUUUUACAAGUUGUUGACAAUUAAGAAACACCUAGCACUUAAUAGAUAUUUCAUAAAUGUGGGUUCCAACUCCUUCCAUUAUCUUUCAUAAGUCUAGACCUGAUCCAGUAUUUGAGGGCCAAUCUCAGUUUCUGAGUAGGAAUAGUGAUACUGUUGAAAACUAAUGAAUGCACCGACAAUAUCACAGAAAUACUCCUAUACUUCUUCAAUGUGAGUUUCCUGCUUUUUGUCUGAUUUAUCAUCCCCUUUUAUUUGAUGUCUCUACUCAGGACUUAUGGACUCGGGCUGUGAUAUUUUGUAUGUUACCUCACAAUUUUUUUUCUGUUUUUUUUUUUUUUUUUCUUUAAGUGUAUAAGCUUCCUUUAUACUUCCAAAGUAUCUUCACUGGAACUCUGCUUCUGUGAGCUAAACCAGUGUCAUACUGCAAUGAAAACUGCAGGUGAUAAACAUUGUCUAAAUAAAAUUUCCAAAAAGUAUUUGACCAAGAAAUACCUUCCCCUUGCAUUCCCCACUUAAUGCAUCUUAAUAUGCCAAGUUACUGAUAUUGUUUGACCUAUUUGGGGAAAUGCUGGCUUGCCAAAUUAUUGCCCUUGUUAGGAACUACAGUUUCUUGUAAUUUCUUCCCCACUCCAGCAUCCACACAGGUAUCUUCCAAAGCUCAGACUUUAUUUUCAAGAAGUCUAUCUGAGACCAGUCUGGGUAACAAAGUGAGACCCUGUCUCCACAAAUAAUAAUAAUAAUAAUAAUGAUAAUAAUAAUAAUAAUAAUAAUAAAUUAGCUGCAUGUGGUGGCAUGUGCCUGUGGUCCCAGCUACUUGGGAGGCUGAGGUAGGAGGUUUGUUUGGUCUCAGGAGUUCGAGGUUGCAGUGAGCUAUGAUCAUGCCUUUGCACUCCAGCCUGGCUGACAGAGCGAGACCCUGUCCCCUCCUAAAAAAGAAAAGUCUAGCAACUUGAGUGUGGCAGUGGCCAACUUGAUGGUACCUAACAAUGGGAUUGCAAACUCUUUGAGGAAAGGAACUGUCAUCCUGAACUCAGCAUAGAACCAAGCACUGGGUUGUUACAUGGUGGGUGGUAAGCAAAUGCCAUGGAAUGCAACAGACCCCUUUUUUUGCUGCUGUAAACUGUGGUAUUUUAACCUAGUAGUGAAUGGCCCAAGGAAAAAAAUACUGCAGGAAAUAUAGUAAUAGAUGAAUUUGGAUAAAGGGUAUAUGAGUGUUUUGGAGUACUAUUCUUACAACUUCUCUGCAAGUUUAAAAUGAUAAUCCAAAAUUUAAAAACUUAUUUUCAGUUCAUCAAACUACUCUUAAAAUGUGUAAAACUAUACCUGAAUUUAAAAGCAACAAAACUCAUAUUGCAAGUCUUGGCAAACUGAGAGAUAGGAGCAGAAAACAAUAGUGGAUGCCUAUAAACGGAUCAAGAAAAUGGAGUGAGAAUUUACUGGAAAGAAGGACAAAUGAGCAUCAAAAUCAGCAGGUUUGGGUUUUUCCAGAGAUCAGUGCCUGAUACUGGUUCCCAGAUGAUAUCUCCCAAGAGCCCGGUUCCCAGGGUGCGUUCCAGCCUCUGUCCGCCAGGCUUCCCACCGAGUCUUGUGCCAAUAGUAGUUGCCAGCACAUUCUGCCUCACAAGUUGCCGGCUCCACCACUACUAUCCUGUCCCACCUACGUCCAAGAUACGCAUCUGGCUUUUCUGCUUUGAAUUCAGCAAGUCAUCUCCUCUCCUGUCAUGUAACUCCCUCUGUGACUCAGCCUACCCAGCCACACUCCUCAGUGCUUUGUGGCAAAACUCAACCUGACCCCCCCUUCAGAGAAAGAGAAAUAAGUGUCAGGGUUGAAGUUUCAGCUGUAAAGUGAUGUUUCCCAUACUCAUAAACUUACGUAGCAAUGAGGAACUGGAGUCUAUUUUUGACUGUUGUAGUGACCUUUGUGCAUACCCCAAAAGACAGAGGAGCAUUGAGCUAAUGUAGCCAUCCCAUGAAGCCUCAGUAGCUCUAAUAGUCCUUUUAGUUGUUUCUGGGUGCCAGUUCUUGCACUUUAAUACAAUUCUUGGCUGGGCACCAUGGCUCACAACUGUAAUCCCAGUACUUUGGGAGGCCAAGGCAGGAGGACCACUGGAGGCCAGGAGUUCAAGACCACCCUGGGCAACAUAGCAAGACCUCAUCUCUGCAAGGUCAAAAAAUUAACUGAGCGUGGUGGUUCAUGCCUAUAAUCCCAGCUACUCAGGCGAUGGGAGGAUCCCUUAAGCCCAGGAGUUGGAGACUGCAGUGAGCCAAGAUUGCACCACUACCCUCCAGCCUGGGUGACAGAGCAAGACUCUGCCUCAAAAACCAACCAGCCAAACAAACAAAAAAUGUAAUUCCUCCCAUCCUAACUCUUCAUAUUAGUAAAUCUUCAAUAAAAUGUAUAUGGGAAAUCAAUAUGGCACCCUCAAACCUAGUUGUAAUAGUCAGGAGAAGACCAUUCUAGCCUUUAAAAUCAGUCCUGUUGACAUCAAUGUUUUUACCUCCAGUUCCUCUCCACCCUUCUCGACCUCCUGAUUUCAUGUAGGCGAGCAGUUUAGGACAAUGAGAGUCACAGGAUUUUAAAUAACUUAAUUCCUAGGUGUGUUUGGUAUGAAAACAAAGAUAACCCUGUUCAACAGUGAAUUUGUGCCCCUGGGUGAACGGCCAGGUGUUCUUUCAACUGAACUGUGAGACUAAUUUCUUCCUGGCCUCUGGAAACCAGCUGAAGCAGGGGGCCAGCUGGUCUAUCUUCAAUCUUGCAUACCAACAUCUUUUUCUGAUUCACAGAUUUCCUUUAUCCCCAGCACUUCCUCUGGUAUGUGCAUCCCAGACAGUAAGUGAUAUCUAUUAUUGGAUUUGGGCGUUUUAAAAUCAUGAGCCUUCUGGAGGGGAGGGAAGAGGAAGGAGGCUGGACGGUUACAUUAGAAUAUUUCCAGAGAGAACCUCACUUUAAUCUCAUCCACCUGACUUCUGUGCCCCAGAUAACCCCCAUAUUUGGGAGGGAUGACAUCACGGUAACUGACAAUGGAAUUAUGACCAUUGCUCUUUUUAAUAUUUAAAUGAUACACAGACUCAGAGAAAACAAGUUUACAUAUAGUCAUAAUAUCCAUAACUAGGAAUAUAAAACAAGAAGCUAUGGAGAGUCUUAUCUAGUGAAGAAAUCUCUUUUAGAAAGUUUCUGAUGACUUUCAGUGGCAAAGCAUAGCUCUUUCAUAAUUUAUCAACCCACUUUCAAUGAUUUGAGAUUUGGAGAGGACCCAGCCAUAGAUUUACCUGGUGAGUCACAGAGUAGAACCUGAUAUGAGAAAGCAGGACCCUAUAUCUAUCAGCCUAAUGGUUCUCAGAAUACCAGGUCAUAGCCAUCAUUUCUUUUCCCAAAUAGCUGUAACAGGCAUACCUCGUUUUACUGGGCUUCACUUUCUUGUGUUUUGGAGAUGGUAUGUCUUUUACAAACUGAAAGUUUGUAGAAACCUGCAUUGAGCAAGUCUACCAGUGCCAUUUUUUCAACAACAUGUGCUCACUUCAUGUCUCUGUCACAUUUUAGUAAUUCUUGCAAUCUUUCAAAAGUGUUUAUUAAGAUAAAAAACAAAAGAAAGGAUAUGAAAAUAAAGAGAAAAAGGAAGAAAAUUUGUUAUUAUUAUACCUGUCAUAGUACCUGUGAUCCGUGAUCUUUCAUAUUACUAUUGUAAUUGUUUUGGGGCACCAUGAACCUCAUCCAUAUAAGAUGGUGAACAUAAUAAAUGUUGUGCGUGUUCUGAGUGUUCCACCAACCUGCCAUUCCUUCAUCUCUCUCCCUCUCCUCAGGCUUCCCUAUUCCUUGAGACACAACAGUAUUGAAAUUAAUUAAUAAAGUUAUAGCGUCCUCCAAGUGUUCAAGUGAAAGGAAGAGUUGCACAUCUCUCACUUUAAUUCAAAAGCUAGAAAUGAUUAAGCUUAGUGAGGAAGGCAUAUCAAAAGCAAAGACAGUCUGAAAACCAAGACUUUUGUGCCAAACAGCCAAGGUGUGAAUGCAGAGAGAAAGAUCUUGCACCAAAUUAAAAUGGUACUCCAGUGAACACAUGAAUGAUAAGAAACGGAAAAACAGCCUUGCUGAUACGGAGAGAGUUUGAGUGGUCUGGAUAGAAGAUCAAACCAGCCACAACAUUCCCUAAUGUUUGUAAGCCAAAGCCUAAUCCAGAGCAAAGCCCUAACUCUUCAAUUCUAUGAAGGCUGAGAGAGGUGAGAAACUGCAGAAGAAAAGUUGAAAGGUAGCAGAGGAUGGUUCAUGAGAUUUAAGAAACAAAGCUGUCUCCAUAACAUAAAAGUGCAAGAUGAAGCAGCAAGUGCUGAAACAGAGGCUGCAGCAAGCUAUCCAGAAGAUCUAGCUAAGAUCAUUGAUGAAAUGGUUGCACCAAACAGCAAAUUUUCAAUGUAAACAACCUUCUAUUGGAAGAAGAUGCCAUGUAGCAUUUUCAUAGCUAGAGGAGAAGUCAAUGCCUGACCUCAAAGCUUCAAAGGACAGGCUGACUUUCUUGUUAGGGGCUAAUAUAGCUGGUAACUUUAAGUUGAAGCCAUUGCUCAUUUACCAUUCUGAAAAUCCUAGGGCACUUAAGAAUUAUGCUAAAUCUUUUCUGCCUGUGCUCUCUAAAUGGAGCAACAAAGCCUGAAUGAUAGCACAUCUGUUUAUAGUAUGGUUUACUGAAUAUUUUAAGCCCAUUGUUGAGACCUGCUUCUCAGAAAAAAAAAAAAAAAAAAGAUUCCUUUCAAAAUAUUACUGCUCAUUGACAAUGCAUGUGGUCACCCAAGAGCUCUGAUGGAGAUAAAUGAGAUUAAUGUUGUUUUCAUGCCUGCUAACACAACACCCAUUCUACAGCCCAUGGGUCAAGGAGUAAUUUCUGCUGUUAAGCCUUAUUAUUUGAGAAACACAUUUUAUAAGGCUAUAGCUGGCAUUCCUCUGAUAAAUCUGGGAAGGAUAAUUGAAAACCUUCUGGGAAGAAUUCACCAUUCUAUACACUGUUAAGAAAAUUCACGAUUCAUGGAAAGAAGUCAAAAUAUCAGCAUUAACAAGAGUUUGGGAGAAGUUGAUUCCAACCCUCAUGGAUGACUUUGAGGGGCUUAAGACUUCAGUGGAGGAAGUUACUGCAGAUGUGGUGGAAAUAGCAAAAGAACUAGACUCGUAAAUGGAGCCUGAAGAUGUGAUUGAAUUGCAUAAUCUCAUGAUCAAACUUAACAGAUAAGUAGUUGCUUCUUAUGGAUCAGCAAAGUGUUUUGUUUUUUUUUUUGAGAUAGAAUCUACUCUUGGUGAAGAUACUGUGAACAAUGUUGAAAUAAUAACAAAGGAUGUUGAAUCUUACAUAAACUGAGUUGAUUAAGCAGUAGCAAGGUUUGAGAGGAUUGACUCCAAUUUUGCAAGAAGUGAAAUUGUGAGUAAAAUGCUAUCAAACAGCAUUGCAUGCUACAGAGAAAUCUGUCACGAAAGGAAGAGUCAACUGUUGCAGCCACCUUCAUUGUCUUGUUUUAAGAAAUUGCCACAGCCAGCCCAGCCUUCAACAACCACCACCCCGAUCCAUCAGCAGCCAUCACUGUUAAAGCAAAACAAUUGUGACUUGCUAAAGGCUCAGAUAAUUGUUAGCAUUUUUUAGCAAUCGAGUAUUUUUAAAUUAAGUAUGCACAUCGUUUUUUACCCUAUGUUGUAGUCUGCUAUGCAUGCAAUAGCAUUAUGUCUAAAAAACAUAAUUUUUAUAUGCACUGGGAAACCAAAAAAUUCAUGUGAGCUACUUUAUUGGUGUAUUUAUUGUGGUGGUCUGGAACUGAACCUGCAAUAUCGUCAAUGUGUGCCUGUAUAAGAUUCUCCAUGCACUUAAAAGGACAUUUGAAAGUCAUGAGUAAGUGAUAGAGGAACUCUGGUGACUUGAAGCUUGUUUACUUUUAGCAGUAUGUACCUGUUGACACUUCUAGUAUAAUUUAUAUUCUUUCUCUCAUAAGUAUUUUACAGGAAAUGCGUUUUCCUUUGCUAGUGAUAUAUGCACUUUGGUUUUCAGGAAGCUGCGGUGCUUUGGUUGAAGCUCUCUGUCUGUUUUAGAGAAAAGACUUACAAUGACCUCCUGAUAUAGUUUGGAUAUUUGUCUGCUCCAAAUCUCAUAUUGAAAUUUGAUCCCCAAUUUUAGAGGUAGGAUAUAGUGGGAGGUGUGUGGGUUACAGAGGCAGAUCCCUCAUGGACAACUUGGUUCUGUCCUCUGGGUAAUGAGUGACUUCUCACUCUAUUAGUUUUUGCAAGAGCUGACUUUUGAAAAGAGCCUGGCACCUUCCUCCCCUCUCUCUCUCUUGCUUCCUUUCUCUCUCUCCGUGUGAUGCCUGCUUCUCUUUGCCUUCCACCAUGAGUGGAAGCUUCCUGAGGCCCUCAGCAGAAGCUGAUGCUGGCAUCCUGUUUCUUGUACAGCCUGUAGAACUGUAAGCCAGAUAAACUUCUUUUUUUAUAAAUUACCCAGCCUCAGGUGUUCCUUCAUAGCAAGGCAAACAGUCUAGGACACCCCCCAAAUGUGAGCUGCACCAUAAGGCAAACUGGGAAACCUCCUUUAGUUUUGUGUAUGUGAGAAUUUUGAUUGACUGAACCAAGGAAUCACCCUCGUAACCACUGCAGAAGGCCAUUCUCAUGUCAUUUGCACACAUUUAGCUUGCCUGAAGUGUGUUCUAUAAAAUGCACCCAGAUUUUCAGGCAUUUAAAAUUUAUUUAUUUAUUAUUAUUAUUAUUUUAAACCUCCUACUUUCUCUCUCUCUCUUUUUUUUUUUUUUUUGAGAUGGGAUCUUGCCCUGUCAUCCAAUCUGGAGUGCAGUAGUGCAAUCACAGCUCGCUUCAGCCUCCAACUCCUAGCCCCAAGCAAUCCUCCUGCCUCAGCCUCUCAAGUAGCUAGGACUAUAGGUACACACCAUUGCACCUGGCUAAUUAAAAAUUUUUUUUUCUUUUUAGAGACAGGGUCUCACUCUAGGUCUUGCCUAGGCUGUUCUCAAAUUCCUGGCCUCAAAAGAUCCUCCUGCCUCAGCUUCCUAAAGUGCUGGGAUUGCAGGCAUGAGCCACCAUGCCCAGUUGCAUGUUUUAAUGGAGAGAGAUGUCCUGGGCAUUUGAACUGCAGAUUCCCUUAAACUGGACAUUGUCAGCUAUUUACGUAUUACAAAAACAAUUGUGUUUCAUGUAAAGUAUUAAACAUCAACAUUACGUCACCACAAGGGUGAUUACAGCAGCCUUCACUCCUAGGUGUGCGUUGCCUACACAAACAGAGUUGUUUGUCUGCAGCGUUGUUUUCAUUUGGUAACAAUUGUAAGAGUUGAAGUAGCACCUUAAGGAGCAAUUUUCAGAGGUGAAGAAAUCAGUUUUCAAAAGUGAAUUCCUUAUAGUUAAUAACUAACCAAUAAAAAAAUAAAGCUAUCCCCAUGGCACAAAUGCCCAUGGCAAAAGGAAAUAAGACAAGAGUCGUUUUAAAAAGUAGCUUUGAAAAACAAAAAAGGAUUUAAAAUUCAAAGACUUUGGGAAAAUUCAACUUAACCAAUAACAUGAGUAACGACUAUUACUAUUUCCUUAGUGCUUACCAUAUGCCAAAUACCAUUGUACCUGCUUCACAUAGAUUAUUUCAUCUCAUUCUCACAGCAUUCUGUGAAGCGCAGGUACUUUAUUAUCUAUCCCUGUUUGCCAGAUAAGGAAGCUGAGACUUCAUACAGUGACUUACAAGUUCAGACAGCCUCCAGCAAACACAGGAAACAGGAUUCGAACCCAUGCAGUCUGCCUCAGAGCCAAAGCCCUUGGCCAUUUUUCUAUCCUGCCUUCCACAGAUCAUUUCUGCCUACAGCAGAGGUCAGAAACUGACAACCGGCUGGCCUUACCUAGCCUUAGGUAACAGUGAUGGCUAUUGAGCACUUACUAUGUGUCAGGAUUAUUUUACACACAUUCAUUUGUUCCUUCAUUUAAUCUUCAAAGCAACUCCAUGAGAUAGGUGGCAGUUAUUAUCCCCAUUUUACAGAUGAGAAAACUGAGACCAAGAGGAAGUAGCACUUCCCAAAUGUUAGCAGAACUAACAUCCAAAUCCAGACUGUCUCAUUCCAGAAUCUCCCCCUCUUCACCAUUAUGCUAAAAAUACAAUUGUCUGCCAACAUGACAAACCUGGAUGUUUCACAAAAAAAUUGAAGGCUUCUGACUUGUCAUGAAAAAAAAAAACAAAAAACAAAAAACCAGAAGACUUGUCCUCUUGGACCAAGCAACAGUCACUUGUAACAAUGGGCAGCUGCCCAUUUUAGAUGAGGUAUCUCCUACCUAGUUGCCACCACCCCUCACUUAGGCUGCUUUGCUCUUUGAUUGCCGGCCUGAACUUUGGGGACAUUCUAUUUUGCAGUCUCAGUCUAAGGUAUCCCUGAUAGUGGAUCUGCCUCACUUAACAAGCUAAAUGUCUUGUGUUUUAUGUUUUUUAUUGUAGCACAAGUUGUUUAACGUUCUCUAAAAAGCACUCCCCACAAAUAGCAGUAAAUGCCUCUUUCCUAUUUUCUUCCCUGUCCCUUGCCCCAAAAGAAAGGCAGCUCUGCAGAACUAGUAUUUGUGCCCAACCAAGUGAGAAGAUAUGAGGCUGAUAGCCUUUUCUCUCUCUUCUUGGUUGGUGGCACUCUGGUAGUGCUUGGUUAGCAAUAACCAAGCAUCUCCCGGCUUUGUUAUGUGUCAUAGUAGGCUAUUGUGUGACAUAGAGACACCUGGCUUUUGUACACGCCAGAGCAAAAUUCAACUACAACAUCCAGAAUUGAAGAGAAGGAUAUUGGCAGGUUCUGCCAUCAUCACCACCCUCAUGCUGGCCUCCUUUGGGCCUCAAAGGCCUACAGUAGCUCCGGGCACCACAUCCAGAUGUAGAAACAACAGAGAUAGAAAGAAAUCAAUUCUUCUUGUGUCUCCUUCUCAAGAGUGAGGAGAUCCUUCCUAGAAGCUCCCAACUGAAACCCCUAAACCAAGACUGGCAAGGGAAAUGGAAGCACCAUUAUCGACUGAUUAACCAAGAUUUACUCCUGAUCUGGCAAUGGAGUCAACUUCCUUUGAGUGCUGAAUACCUGAAUAAAAUAGAUUCUGUUAACAAGGAAGAA
Long non-coding RNA from Pongo pygmaeus (Bornean orangutan), 11722 nucleotides. RefSeq lists it as uncharacterized. Lineage: Eukaryota; Metazoa; Chordata; Mammalia; Primates; Hominidae. The record is from RefSeq and is a predicted model, not a curated record. The transcript is spliced from 2 exons.